AUCUAACAACACUAAGGAAUUUCAAGUGUUUUUUCGAUGGCUCUGUCAAUCCUCACGAUGUUGCUGUAAGACAGGAGACACUGUCUAUUGAUAAAACUUUGAGAAAGAAUGCAGAAGCUUCCAUCUUAGGAAGACAAGUUAUUCUGAAGACAUUUAAAAUUUCUGUUUAAUUUUUGUGGAACUAAACUUUCAACAAAAUUCAAUCAAGAAGUAAUGGUUUUGCAAAGGUGCUGGGAAGUGGAAGGAUUAUGGAUAUACUUUGAAAAUAGAGACCACAGGAUCUCCAGAAAGAUUGGAUGUAGAUAUGUGAAACAUAAAGGUAUCCAGAAUGACUCCAAGGAUUUUAGCUUAAGCAACUGGAAGGAUGGAGUCACUAACCUGUGAGAGAGGAAGACUGAAGAUGGAACAGUUUUUUGGAGGGAAGAUGUUGAGUUCCAGAAUAUCUUCCUUUUGUUUCUUAAGAUUCUUUUUCUAUGGAACUUUACUCUCUGUUCCAAGAGGCUGAUCUGUGUUUAUUUUAUCAGUAGAUCAUUUGUCCUUUGACUCUUAAUUAUAUUCAGUCAGUAGGAGCUUAUAAACUGGAGGGAGGGAGGAGAAUGAGAUCAUGGAUCUGUUCUCUUGGCUUCCUCACAAUGAGUUUUUUCUCAGGUUCUCUGAGUGUUACCUGGCCAAAUGUCACCACUAUUCUCCUGGUGGCCUCAUCUAUACAAUUCUCUCCUUCCAGUUUCUAGCAAAUCCUCUUCCUCUCACUAUUUCUGAUCUAUGGAUCUUAACAGCUCUGUUCCAACUAACCCAGAGUCAUUAUACUAUCUAUCAUGGUUCCACUAUACCCUGACUACACCCCUGUAAAUAGUCACUUUGUAAAUAAACAUUUUCCAAAUUUUCUAAUUUCAUUGUGCCUUCUGGUUCUUCUGAGGACCAUGAAUGAUAGACUAUCCAAGUGG
Molecule: non-coding RNA, 944 nt
Organism: Microcebus murinus (gray mouse lemur)
Lineage: Eukaryota; Metazoa; Chordata; Mammalia; Primates; Cheirogaleidae
Source: RefSeq, a predicted model, not a curated record